GACGAACGCUGGCGGCGUGCUUAACACAUGCAAGUCGAACGGAAAGGCCCUGCUUUUGUGGGGUGCUCGAGUGGCGAACGGGUGAGUAACACGUGAGUAACCUGCCCUUGACUUUGGGAUAACUUCAGGAAACUGGGGCUAAUACCGGAUAGGAGCUCCUGCUGCAUGGUGGGGGUUGGAAAGUUUCGGCGGUUGGGGAUGGACUCGCGGCUUAUCAGCUUGUUGGUGGGGUAGUGGCUUACCAAGGCUUUGACGGGUAGCCGGCCUGAGAGGGUGACCGGCCAAAUUGGGACUGGGGUACGGCCCAGACUCCCACGGGAGGGAGGAGUGGGGAAUAUUGGAAAAUGGGCGGAAGGCUGGAGGAGCAACGCCGCGGGCGGGAAGACGGCCUUCGGGGUGUAAACCGCUUUCGCCUGUGACGAAGCGUGAGUGACGGUAAUGGGUAAAGAAGCACCGGCUAACUACGU
Molecule: ribosomal RNA, 467 nt
Filed under: uncultured bacterium
Lineage: Bacteria
Description: partial 16S ribosomal RNA
Rfam family: Bacterial small subunit ribosomal RNA
Source: RNAcentral